AGAGUUUGAUCAUGGCUCAGAACGAACGCUGGCGGCAGGCCUAAUACAUGCAAGUCGAACGCUCCAGCAAUGGAGAGUGGCAGACGGGUGAGUAACACGUGGGAACCUUCCCUUUGGUUCGGAAUAGCCCAGGGAAACUUGGGGUAAUACCGGAUAAGCCCUUACGGGGAAAGAUUUAUCGCCGAAGGAUGGGCCCGCGUCGGAUUAGCUAGUUGGUGGGGUAACGGCCUACCAAGGCGACGAUCCGUAGCUGGUCUGAGAGGAUGAUCAGCCACACUGGGUCUGAGACACGGCCCAGACUCCUACGGGAGGCAGCAGUAGGGAAUAUUGGACAAUGGGCGCAAGCCUGAUCCAGCCAUGCCGCGUGAGUGACGAAGGCCUUCGGGUUGUAAAGCUCUUUUGGCGGGGACGAUAAUGACGGUACCCGCAGAAUAAGCUCCGGCUAACUUCGUGCCAGCCGCCGCGGUAAUAC
RNAcentral lists this ribosomal RNA (472 nucleotides) under uncultured bacterium. RNAcentral describes it as "bacterial SSU rRNA". It matches the Rfam family "Bacterial small subunit ribosomal RNA", at positions 8 to 526 of the family's 1533-position model. The record is from RNAcentral.